UGAUGGCGACCGGCGCACGGGUGAGUAACACGUAUCCAACCUGCCCAUUACUCAGGGAUAGGCUUCUGAAAGGGAGAUUAAUACUUGAUAUGUCAUAAUUUCGCAUGUCAUUAUGAUGAAAGAUUUAUCGGUGAUGGAUGGGGAUGCGUUCCAUUAGCUUGUUGGUGAGGUAACGGCUCACCAAGGCUUCGAUGGAUAGGGGUUCUGAGAGGAAGGUCCCCCACAUUGGAACUGAGACACGGUCCAAACUCCUACGGGAGGCAGCAGUGAGGAAUAUUGGUCAAUGGACGUAAGUCUGAACCAGCCAAGUAGCGUGAAGGAUGACUGCCCUAUGGGUUGUAAACUUCUUUUGUUCGGGAAUAAUAUGCCUUACGUGUAGGGUAUUGCAUGUACCGUUCGAAUAAGCAUCGGCUAACUCCGUGCCAGCAGCCGCGGUAAUACGGAGGAUGCGAGCGUUAUCCGGAUUUAUUGGGUUUAAAGGGAGCGUAGAUGGGCGAUUAAGUCAGUUGUGAAAGUUUCCGGCUCAACCGUAAAAUUGCAAUUGAAACUGUUUGUCUUGAGUGCAGCUGAAGUAGGCGGAAUUCGUGGUGUAGCGGUGAAAUGCUU
RNAcentral lists this ribosomal RNA (606 nucleotides) under uncultured Bacteroides sp. Its description in RNAcentral is "bacterial SSU rRNA". It matches the Rfam family "Bacterial small subunit ribosomal RNA", at positions 86 to 691 of the family's 1533-position model. The record is from RNAcentral. Lineage: Bacteria; Pseudomonadati; Bacteroidota; Bacteroidia; Bacteroidales; Bacteroidaceae.